GAUGAACGCUGGCGGCGUGCCUAAUACAUGCAAGUCGAGCGAACGGACGAGAAGCUUGCUUUUCUGAUGUUAGCGGCGGACGGGUGAGUAACACGUGGAUAACCUACCUAUAAGACUGGGAUAACUUCGGGAAACCGGAGCUAAUACCGGAUAAUAUUUUGAACCGCAUGGUUCAAAAGUGGAAGACGGUCUUGCUGUCACUUAUAGAUGGAUCCGCGCUGCAUUAGCUAGUUGGUAAGGUAACGGCUUACCAAGGCAACGAUGCAUAGCCGACCUGAGAGGGUGAUCGGCCACACUGGAACUGAGACACGGUCCAGACUCCUACGGGAGGCAGCAGUAGGGAAUCUUCCGCAAUGGGCGAAAGCCUGACGGAGCAACGCCGCGUGAGUGAUGAAGGUCUUCGGAUCGUAAAACUCUGUUAUUAGGGAAGAACAUAUGUGUAAGUAACUGUGCACAUCUUGACGGUACCUAAUCAGAAAGCCACGGCUAACUACGU
This 496-nucleotide ribosomal RNA is filed under the name uncultured bacterium. RNAcentral's name for it is "partial 16S ribosomal RNA". It matches the Rfam family "Bacterial small subunit ribosomal RNA", at positions 28 to 506 of the family's 1533-position model. The record is from RNAcentral.